This 562-nucleotide long non-coding RNA is filed under the name Corvus moneduloides (New Caledonian crow). RNAcentral's name for it is "lncRNA (ENSCMUG00000017001.1)". Lineage: Eukaryota; Metazoa; Chordata; Aves; Passeriformes; Corvidae. The record is from RNAcentral.
GUGAGUUAUUACAUAUGCAGAGGGCGGGUGCCUGUGAAAUCCGUCGCCUGGAGAUCUCACCUUGGGAGGCGGCUUGUUCUGCUGGCACACCUGAGCAAGGACAUUUCAGAACAGCUGGGACGGGCUCUGACACCCUCACAUCCCAUGGCCGCCCUCAUCUUCAUCCAUGAUCUCCCCUCAUGGCCGCCUCUCACCUUCCUCCAUGAUCUCCCCUCAUGGCCGCCCUCGUCUUCCUCCAUGAUCUCCCCUCAUGGCCGCCCUCGUCUUCCUCCAUGAUCUCCCCUCAUGGCCGCCCUCAUCUUCAUCCAUGAUCUCCCCUCAUGGCCGCCUCUCACCUUCCUCCAUGAUCUCCCCUCAUGGCCGCCCUCGUCUUCCUCCAUGAUCUCCCCUCAUGGCCGCCCUCGCCUUCCUCCAUGAUCUCCCCUCAUGGCCACCCUCGCCUUCCUCCAUGAUCUCCCCUCAUGGCCACCCUCACCUUCCUCCAUGAUCUCCCCUCAUGGCCGCCCUCGUCUUCCUCCAUGAUCUCCCUCAUGGCCGCCCUCGUCUUCCUCCAUGAUCUCCC